This 3553-nucleotide long non-coding RNA is filed under the name Marmota monax (woodchuck). Lineage: Eukaryota; Metazoa; Chordata; Mammalia; Rodentia; Sciuridae. The record is from RNAcentral.
CUCAGGACCCUGAAGGAUCUGGAAGUGGGGCCACCCUUCACCAUCAGUGGCCAUAUCAGCAGUCCAGAUGGCGGCUACAUGAAGUUCUCCAACGGGCUAGUCUGACGGGGGCAGCACCUGGCUUCUAGAGCCUGGGAGAGGUGAGUGAGAAGCUGCAGAACUCCUGAGUGAAUCUCAAGUCCAAAUAAAGCCCUAAGGGGGUCCAGGCACCCAUGCCCAGCGCCAAGGACCACUCAAAAUUCAGAGAUGAUUUAGUGCCUUCUUUCUUGCUGGAAGAAGCCUCACUAGGUGACAUGGUUUAGAGGAACCUUCUCACACCUCUUCUCUUUCCCCCUUCCUUUUCUUUUCUAGGAACAGACUCCUGGCUUAGCUCCUGACCAUCCUGGGCUCUCCUGGGCUGCUCUCCCUCUUCUGGGUCCUCAAGACCUGGCCUGGCCUCUGAAGGUGGAGGAUGAGGAGUCUUCUUUGGAUACUUCACUAGCCUGUGACCUGAGAGUCCUGGGGAGAGUCAGGCCUCUGGGGAGGGACUGGCCAGGUGGCAGCAGCCUUCUCACAGGAACCAGCGAGGAGGCGGCCACCCCAGGGAGAAGGACUGGACUCCAGGAGGCCCUGAGCCUGCAGGAGUUGCUGAGGCGUCCUGAGGAGCCAAGCCACACCCUACAGUGUGGGAGGAGCCCCCAGACUCCAGAGGGAGCACCUCAGGUGGCGGGUCCCAUCACUUUCUCUUAUAGGGUUGACACCAGGGGCUGGAAAGACAGUCAUAUCUUCACUGGGCAAAGUUCUAUGGAAAUAGAGGUGGGACUCCAGACAGGGUUUUUUACCUUCCCAUCAGAGGACAACUUCUCUGAAGACGGAGUUCAGCCUUUACUCUGCCCUGCCUCCCUCUAUGCUUCGUUCUGGCACUUUCCAUUCUUUCCCUGGAAUUGCUGCCCUCUACCCGGCUCUACUCCCUGCCCUGGGCCCGCUCUCCCUCCAUGACAGGCCUCAGUGCCUCCCGAAUGUGGUUAGCUCUCAAUUUUGAUUGGUAGUUCUGAGAAUAGACUAGAAAUGUCCCAGUAGCCUGGGCUCCUGCGCCAGGGUGGGCAUGGGGCACAGGGGACAGUAUCUCCCAGUGCCCUGGGUUUCCUGAACCAAGUCGGCCCUGGGAAGCAGAAAGUGGUAGAGUGGUGGAGUGGAGAAAGCAGAAAGAGGAACCCAGGCGAGGCUGAGGGAAGCAGAUAAGAACAAGAGAAAGGAAGAAACAGCUGUCACCCGAGGACAGCAGGACAAUGUGCCUUGCCAGUCAUAACUCCUUCCUGUAGAGGGACCUACUGGGGCCAGAGGCGGAGCUGGCCCUGGGGUGUUGACCUAGUCGGUCCUUGAUGAUGCUGUUGUUCUAUCCAGAGGGGGUGAGUCCCCAGGCAGCUGUGGAUGGAGCAGGACGUGAGAGGGGAUCCUCACAUCAGCAGCGGUGGCUGUUGAAACCUGCUGACACAACUACAGCCCUGGCUUCUCUGCCAUUGUCCAGCACCAAGGCCACUAGGAGCCCCAGGCAGCUGACUGGGAGGGGGAGAGGGGUCAUGUGAUUUAUCUUCCUAUCUUUCUUUUCCUGAGGCCUUGUUUCUUUCUGGUUUUGGGAUCUAGCAGAGCAGAAGGAAGGAGAGUGGCCUUGCCAACCCCUCCCCCCUCAUUUCCUGUCAGGGGAUUCCUGCGUCGUCCUCCACGUAACCAAGCCUUGACUUCAUAAACACAGUCUUUUUGGAAGACUUUACUGGGUCUUCUACCUCUGACUAGGUGGGAGUGGAGAAGAGCCCUUAAUGGCUUUGGAUUCCCUCUCUUCCUUGAAGGUCUCUUGGGAGAAAUGGAGAAAAGGAGACGGAUUGACUUUGGCUUCCUUCUUCCUUGGAUCUCAGCUCUGAGAACUAGACCCACAGGUCCCCCUACCCACUUUAGUACCAGACAUUGAACCCAAGGAUGCUUAACCACUUAGCCAUGUCCCCAGUUCUUUCUGUAUUUUAUUUAGAGACAGGGUCUCACUUACUUGCUGAGGCUGGCUUUGAACUUGCAAUCCUCCUGCCUCAGCUUCCCAAGCUGCUGGGAUCACAGGCAUGCGCCACGGCACCUGGUUUAGACCCACAGUUUAACCUAUAGGGUGUCCAUUCCUGGUGACGCUUUCAAUCAUGCCCUUCUCAGUGUAAAUCCGGGGUCUGCAGUCCCUGCAGGGCUGCUCAAGGGUCCCUGAAAGUGCUCUGGACCCACCAGCUUCAAGGACACUUGAAAGGAGGUUGGGGCUCAACCCAGUGGUCCUGGUCCCAGGCCUGGUGGCUUCAGGAGAGGAUGCAGGAACAGCUGCUGAGGACUGGGAGAAUGGAGGGUAUUUCCCAUCCUUGGGAGCGGAACUGAGAGUGGGCUGCUUCCUCUUUUGGGGCCUUCUGACGUGCUCCUUGUCCCCUCUCCUCCCCCAUCAUUUUCCUUACUUCCGCAGGCCCAGCAGAGCUUUCUUGGCCCCCCCUGGCCCCACCCUAGGACUCCACAUGUUUCUGUUGAGGACUCUGAAGGGCCAGAUUCCCACUUGCUCAUAAAUAAGAGAGGAGAACUUCCUAGAAAUCAAGGCUACAGGUCUGUGGGCUGGGCCCUGGCUGGGCGCCCAGCCCUUGCUGUGCCAGGGCCUCUGCUGCACCGUCUCCCUCCCUCUUCACUCCUUCAGGCCAUAGCAGAUGAGUCGAGACGCAUCCUUGGGAGCCUGCAGUACUGUGGGCUGCCCAUUCCCAGGUCCUCUCCUGGUCAGGGCUGUUCCCCAGCCCGGAGUGCCCUCUUAUCCCCCACCCGCCCCUGCACAGUGUGGCUCAAGUCCCAUUUUUCCUGCAACUCUUCUUAGGACUCGAGACUCAGAUGCCACCCCUUUUGAUCCUGGUUGUAGAGGGCCGUGUUUGCUCCAUUUGUCUUGUUCCCCAACCAAGCUGAGCCCUUUGCGGGCAAGGUUAGGUCCUAUAGGUCUCUAGGGGCCCCUAAAACUGAAGCACAUAGAGGUGCUCGAUAAGUGCUUGUGGAGUAAAGAGGAAACAGAGAAUAUAACCUUGAAAAUCGGCCUUGUCCUAGAAGAGGGAACUUUUUUUCCCACUUGUUAUUGCAUUUUGGACAUUGUGGCAACCCUGUGACACAGGAAUUAUGAUUGGUCCCACUUUACAUAUGGGAGCUGAAAGGUUCCAAGAGGUAGCAUGCUUUGCCUAAAGCUCCACAGCUGCUCACUACUGUCUGCACUGGAGCCUGAGCAGAGUCUGUGGCCUCCUGGAUGCAGCCUGGCCUCCGGGCUUAGUGAGGUAAGGAUGGAGCUCUGGAGAAUAGAGUCUGAUUCUGACAUUGCCCUGCCAUGCUAUGUGUCCCUGGGUUAGUCACUCCACCUCUCUGGUCAUCUAUUUCAGCAUCAGGAAAUCAAAAGACUGGACUAUUUCUUCAAGGAUCCUCCUGGCUCUUACCUUGUCUUGCUUUUUAAAAAUUCUCUGUAUUCAUGUUUAGCAUAAGUGCUGUCACACAGUGGGUGCUCAAUAAACAAAAGAUGCAAGCACAAAGUAUA